AGCUAGUUGGUGAGGUAACGGCUCACCAAGGCGACGAUACGUAGCCGACCUGAGAGGGUGAUCGGCCACACUGGGACUGAGACACGGCCCAGACUCCUACGGGAGGCAGCAGUAGGGAAUCUUCCGCAAUGGGCGAAAGUCUGACGGAGCAACGCCGCGUGAGUGAAGAAGGUUUUCGGAUCGUAAAGCUCUGU
This 194-nucleotide ribosomal RNA is filed under the name uncultured Jeotgalibacillus sp. RNAcentral describes it as "partial 16S ribosomal RNA". It matches the Rfam family "Bacterial small subunit ribosomal RNA", at positions 243 to 436 of the family's 1533-position model. The record is from RNAcentral. Lineage: Bacteria; Bacillati; Bacillota; Bacilli; Caryophanales; Caryophanaceae.